AGUGAACGCUGGCGGUAGGCCUAACACAUGCAAGUCGAACGGCAGCACAGUAAGAGCUUGCUCUUACGGGUGGCGAGUGGCGGACGGGUGAGGAAUACAUCGGAAUCUACUUUUUCGUGGGGGAUAACGUAGGGAAACUUACGCUAAUACCGCAUACGACCUACGGGGGAAAGCAGGGGAUCUUCGGACCUUGCGCGAUUGAAUGAGCCGGUGUCGGAUUAGCUAGUUGGCGGGGUAAAGGCCCACCAAGGCGACGAUCCGUAGCUGGUCUGAGAGGAUGAUCAGCCACACUGGAACUGAGACACGGUCCAGACUCCUACGGGAGGCAGCAGUGGGGAAUAUUGGACAAUGGGCGCAAGCCUGAUCCAGCCAUACCGCGUGGGUGAAGAAGGCCUUCGGGUUGUAAAGCCCUUUUGUUGGGAAAGAAAAGCAGCAGGUUAAUACCCCGCUGUUCUGACGGUACCCAAAGAAUAAGCACCGGCUAACUUCGUG
Molecule: ribosomal RNA, 492 nt
Filed under: uncultured bacterium
Lineage: Bacteria
Description: partial 16S ribosomal RNA
Rfam family: Bacterial small subunit ribosomal RNA
Source: RNAcentral